RNAcentral lists this long non-coding RNA (253 nucleotides) under Gossypium barbadense (sea-island cotton). Its description in RNAcentral is "long non-coding RNA (GBAR_LNC007839)". Lineage: Eukaryota; Viridiplantae; Streptophyta; Magnoliopsida; Malvales; Malvaceae. The record is from RNAcentral.
UCGAAUGCAAAGUAUCUGAUGUCAAACGGUUGAAUUAAACUUUCAUUCACAGCAAGAAUUCCGUCUGUCGAAUCAUCGACAGGAAUUUCAACUUUGUCACUACUUCCAUCGCAUUCAUAUUCAUCAUCCUUUCUCUUCCGCCCUUUCUGCAACUGAAACUACUAUUUAGAAAUCCCCUGCUUCGGUAGUCGUAGAACAGAGUAAUACUAUCACAAGUUUCAGAAGAAUUAAAAACAUUAGGUUAUCAAAAUCU